GGCUCAGUGGUGUAGCGGUCCAGCAUCACACGUCUGGAACGCGAGUUCGAAUCCCACCUGAGCCG
Molecule: non-coding RNA, 65 nt
Organism: Nippostrongylus brasiliensis
Lineage: Eukaryota; Metazoa; Nematoda; Chromadorea; Rhabditida; Heligmosomidae
Source: Rfam